This is a long non-coding RNA of Mugil cephalus (flathead mullet), 199 nucleotides long. RefSeq lists it as uncharacterized. The record is from RefSeq and is a predicted model, not a curated record. Lineage: Eukaryota; Metazoa; Chordata; Actinopteri; Mugiliformes; Mugilidae. The transcript has 5 exons.
CAGAUACAAGUAGACGGGUCAUGGUUGUGAUUAUGACUGCUUGUGGAGUAACUGUUGGUGUGUUACUGGGGAUUGGACUUGUGUGGAAUCAACAGAGAGAAGAGAAAUGUGCUUCCAAGGGAGCAAAAGUUAGCAUCACAGAUGACUGUAAAUCUUUGGUCGAUUGUGAUGAAAGCUACAGUACUGUCAACUAUGAGUG